UGCCACAUUCAGCGACAACCGCCUUAGGAAGCAACAUGAUCGGAAAGUGUACGAACGUAUCUUAGAAAUAGCACGUAACUAAAAGUGACUCCACAGUCUGUUGACCCUUUAAAUGUCCGUACACACAUGGAGGAACACAACACGCUAUAGGUAGUGCAGACAGUAUACAGUAUCCUACCAAAUGGCCUGCUUUCGAAAUACUUUAUCGAUUGUUGUUAAUAACUAAACAAGAUAAUGAAGAUACAAAAAUGCCGCUACAAGCAUCAAACAUAUAAUUUCUCGGCGGUAACUACACAGUCCUAUAUGAUCUAUCAAGAAUACGUUAUUUCCAAAUGUUGUGUGCGACUAGAAAACUCAAUCGCCAUACGACGUGUGUCGAUAUUUCACUGUAAAGAGUGAAACAGUAGACACGCGAUUCGUACCAUAGAGAAAACGAAGAGGAUAGCGGGUAUAAUGAGACAAACCACGUGUUAUAUAUUUAAAUUAGUCAAUUGAAUUGAUAUAAUAUGCCCAUAUUGUGGUCAUCGGAACUCUCGCUACGCACUAUAAGGUCACAUUCGGUGAAAAUAAUAACCUUAGUCACCACGUUCGAAUCAUGUAUCGGAAUUUAAUUGCCCGACAGGUAAUCGUAUUGUCUUAAAUGAACACCUAUAUUAAAUACAGACUAGAAACAAUUUAGGAACUUUAUAAGUUUUAUAUCACGGUAACUAAAAGAUAACAAAGGAAAGCCGCUAGGCGAGUCACAGCAGCACGAGGUUUGCAAAAAUGACCGACAUACCUGUAUAAUUACUUGUCAAUCGGUCUCUAACUUCUUUUCGAGUUUCUGUACGUAUCUAUCCAACGAUUAUAAUCAAGUGCCAAGAACACUGAAUGAUCAACUUCU
Molecule: long non-coding RNA, 883 nt
Organism: Bombus terrestris (buff-tailed bumblebee)
Lineage: Eukaryota; Metazoa; Arthropoda; Insecta; Hymenoptera; Apidae
Exons: 2
Source: RefSeq, a predicted model, not a curated record